Molecule: long non-coding RNA, 922 nt
Organism: Vigna unguiculata (cowpea)
Lineage: Eukaryota; Viridiplantae; Streptophyta; Magnoliopsida; Fabales; Fabaceae
Source: RefSeq, a predicted model, not a curated record
UUUGUCGCUCCCACUUCCCAACCUUCACCGUCACUGUGCGAAGAGUCUACGAAGUCGUCGCACCGUGCGAAGUCGCUGCAGUCACCAUGCGAAGUUGCCUCGUCACCGUCGCGUGUUGUUUCUGCGCUCUUCGUCUGCUAGCAUCACUGUGCGAAGUCGCCUACGAAGUCACUCCUAGUCUGUGUCGCCCUCAUUGUCCAUCUCUUGUACACUUUCUCCAUCUAAAGGUGUUAGCAUUCUUUGCAGGAGCUCUACUGGAGAAGCAGAUAGUUUUUGUCUGUUCUAAUUUGGGUUGUUGUUAGCUUUAAAAGCAUAUCUGAACAAGGAUCUGGGAGCUCUUGUAGAAGCAUUUUUUUUGUAAGGAAUGAUAUUUGUGAAGCUAUUGGCGCCGCGAAUCCACAUUGCCAUAUUUAGAUCCCGAGCUCAACGGGGAAAGAUUGCUUGUCGGUGCCAACUUUGCUUCUGCUGGAAUUGGAAUUCUCAAUGACACUGGAAUCCAGUUUUGCUCAUGUCAACCGGGAAGCUAUGAGUGUGGAUAUUAUACCAUGAGGCACAUGCAUAGAAUCAUAUCCGCAAACAUUGUUGACUCAUGGGAUAUGAUUUUCAAUGACACAUCUCCAAUGGAUCAAGGAGUCUUGAAGGAAGUUCGUGAGCAGUGGGCUUCGUUUCUUUUGAGUGUUUAUAUAAAAUGAUGUUAGGUGUUUUAUGACUUAUAUAGUAAUUCGUUUUGGAGUAGUAUUAUAUUUCAUAUAAAUAUUAGAUUCUAUUUCACGUAAAUAUUAGAUUGAAUGAGAUUUGUUUUCUGGAUGUUUUGAAUAAUUAUAUACAGUAUAUAAGAUGAUGUUAGGUAUUUCAUGACUUAUAUAGUAAUUCACUGUGGAGUAGUAUUAUAUUUCAUAUAAACAUUAGAUUCUAUUUCAUG